Molecule: small RNA, 143 nt
Filed under: Staphylococcus epidermidis
Lineage: Bacteria; Bacillati; Bacillota; Bacilli; Caryophanales; Staphylococcaceae
Description: partial 6S RNA
Rfam family: 6S / SsrS RNA
About the family: E. coli 6S RNA was the first non coding RNA to be sequenced, but its function was unknown until recently. It consists of 184 nucleotides that fold into an extended hairpin structure with a large single-stranded internal bulge.
Source: RNAcentral
AGUCAUCUGUGGUGUUCGUAAGUUUGCUUUUUAUUUGGGCCUAACACUCUUUGAUCAGGGAGCCCAAUAGGUUUUCUCGCAGCGCACACGCCUCUAUAGGAGGACUUGCAAAACGAGAAACAGGGCACCCACCUGUAUAUAGC